AGGACGAACGCUGGCGGCGUGCUUAACACAUGCAAGUCGAACGGGCGAUUUAAGCUUGCUUAGAUGAGCCUAGUGGCAAACGGGUGAGUAACGCGUAGGCAACCUGCCUCUAAGAUGGGGACAACAGUCCGAAAGGACUGCUAAUACCGAAUGUUGUGAGUUUUCCGCAUGGAGAAUUCAUUAAAGAUGGCCUCUACUUGUAAGCUAUCACUUAGAGAUGGGCCUGCGUCUGAUUAGCUAGUUGGUGGGGUAACGGCCCACCAAGGCGACGAUCAGUAGCCGGUCUGAGAGGAUGAACGGCCACAUUGGGACUGAGACACGGCCCAGACUCCUACGGGAGGCAGCAGUGGGGAAUCUUCCGCAAUGGGCGAAAGCCUGACGGAGCAACGCCGCCGUGAGUGAAGAAGGUCUUCGGAUCGUAAAGCUCUGUCGAAGGGGACGAACGUGGGUUCUAUCAACAACGGAACCUAAUGACGGUACCUUUCAAGAAAGCCACGGCUAACUACGUGCCAGCCGCCGC
Molecule: ribosomal RNA, 520 nt
Filed under: uncultured bacterium
Lineage: Bacteria
Description: bacterial SSU rRNA
Rfam family: Bacterial small subunit ribosomal RNA
Source: RNAcentral